AUGAACAACACACCUCCACCAACCGGCCACCAUGCUUCCGUCAACCUCAACCUUCUGUCCGCGCAUACACUCUCCGCUGCUACUUCCUCACCUCAUCUCCACGAACAACCCAGCACAUACCUCAUACCCAGCUUCCAUACUCAACCACACGGUUUUACUCCCUCUGUAGCAGACAGACAACACACCCCCUCCAUUUGUUUCAAAACCAACGAUAACUUCCUCCGUCCGAGCAUUCCACUACUGCCUCUCUUCCUUCCAUCACCGCUCAACUUUCAUCACAAUUACUAG
This is a non-coding RNA of Vicia faba (fava bean), 288 nucleotides long. The record is from the annotation of a GenBank genome assembly. NCBI's taxonomy places the organism in Eukaryota, Viridiplantae, Streptophyta, Magnoliopsida, Fabales, Fabaceae.